CCAGAGAUCAAACCCGAGUCCUCAUGGAUGCUAAUUGGGUUUGUUACUGCUGAGCCACAACGGGAACUCCUCUGUACAUCUAUUUAAUGCAACCUCGUACAUCUAUUUUAUGCAAUCUGUUUUAUUCACUGCCCAAUAAGAGGUGAUUGUCAGGAACUGUCCAUCUGCCAUAGAUAGCUCUAAACUUUGUUUAUUUCUUGGCAGAUGUGAAAUUUGGUGUGCAGUAUUCUCUGGGAGGAUUCUCUUAGAAUUCACAUGGGAGUGUUUCAGUACGCAGUGUAGUCCCAGCUUUAAGAGUGAACACCCUGUAGAAUCUAGAUUCAAAGGCUUUUAAUAAGGCAAACUUGGAUAAAUGAGGGGAAAAUGAAACUUUAAAUAAAAAAUUUCCUUUUUCCGUAAAAAGCAGUAAUAAUUAGCAUGCAAAGUCCAAUUCUGCUAGACCGACAGAAUCUAGAAUGGUGGUAUUAGGAUUCAGUUUGUUUAGUCAUAAGCAAUGGAGAAAAUCUCAAUGACCACUUGGCACAACUGGGUUCAACUGUAACUUUGACUGACUGCAUUAAAAAAAAAAAAAUCCAUUUAGGGUCGUAGACAUAGGCUCUAUGGGACUAAAAUAACUUGGGGGGUGGGGAGGGGACACCUGCCUUGCAAGGUAUCUAUAAUCCUGAAGUUACAUCCGUUUUGGAAAUGUGCUUCUUUAUUGCUGCAUUUACCAACAUAGAUUAUUUAAUCAGCAGGUACAGACUGUCUAUCAUGAACAGAAUAAUAGAUGUUUGGAGGAAUACAAAAGAACUAGAAAAUGGGGCAUUUGCCCCCAAGGACCUUAUGCUACUGGAAAAUACACAAGUGAAAUAACUGUUAUUGGACAAAAUGGCCAGAAGGAUUGAGUAGGGAGGCAGGGAAGCAGAGUGAACAGAAUGAGGGAUGGUUGCUCAUGAUGGCUUUUUGGAUGAUGUUGGCCUGAUUCAUACUCCAGCAUUAGGGAGGGGCUAGGAGGAGGCAGAUCUGGGCAAUGGAGAGAAAAAUCUCAGAAUUCAAGCACAGCAAGGAGAACAUUCGGGGACAAUAGGUGGCUGCUGCAGUGGAAGGGUAGGGAAGGCCUGAGGAUUAGUUUGUCUGAAGCUGCGCGAGGGGAACUACGAGAAAUAAAGUGAGUGUGUGUGAUGGAGAAGACUGAGGUCAGUCAUGAGUAAAUGAUUCUCACGGAACCGAAACAUCUUCUCCAAGGUGCUAAUAUUCUUAACAUUUCCCUGCUCCGGGUAUGGGAAUUAUGAGUCCCCAUAAUUAGCAUGACUACGUCAUUUAUUACCUAAAUGGACAAUUUUGAGAGUGAAAAGUGGCUCUCCUGAUGAUUACACACUUGCAUUACCUCAGGCAGACUGGGGCACCCUGCAGGCUAUUUUUGCAUAGGCUGCUCUUUCUACAUUUUCCCCCAAAGAGAAAAGGCUGAGAGGCUUGUGUGUUGGGUGGGGGAGGAUGGAGGAGAAGGAGAAAGGAAAGUGCAAGAGUAUUUGCUGGGCAGAAUUUCUAGCUGUUGAGAGAGGAAAUUACUCUCUUAGCUCCUAUGCUCCACUCAUCUCUGGACUACCCAGUACCUGGAUCCUCAGGGUAAAAAGAUUAAAUCCAGGCAGAAUAGCGGAGUGGGACAAAGCUUUGCCUUUGCAGCCAAGAAAAACUGGAAUUGACUGUGGACUCCAUCACUGACUCAUUAUCCAAACUUGGGUAAAUCAUUUUUAACCUAUUUGAGCUUCUAUUUCCAGAUAUUGGUAUUGUCAUCAUAACUUCACAGGCUUGCAGUGAAGGUCAGAUCCUGGAAUUACGUGUGGAAAAGUGUUUCUGAUGCCUUAGACCAAUGUGUGACAGUCAUCAUUGGAUAUCUACCCAAAAGCCAUUCUUCCCUCCCUUUGUUAACAUGUCACCCCAGCCCCCCCCCCCCCCCCCCAGGCAUUGGAAAGCUCUGUGGUCAGUGUUGCAAACCCAUCUUGAUAAUUCCAUUCCUUUUAUCAGAGACCGAUUCAAGCAUGGAUGUGUAAUCCAACCCUGGCCAAUGGGACAAAAGAGAAGACUGCUGGAGGAAUUGGGGGGAAAAGAAUUCCUUGCUUUUAGAAAGAAACUCAAGGCAGGACUUGUCCUUAUUUCUUCCACUUGAUAACCAGUGUAUUGGGAGAGAGAAGGUUUAGUUUAGCGUGUACUCUCUAUACAAGGGACAGAAAAGCAGAAAAGAAAAAUAACCCAAGGCAUUUCAGAAGAGGCUACUGUGACUACACAAACUAAAGAUCUUUUAAAGCUGCUAACUGGGGCUGUUUUAAGCUGGUGAAUCUGUAAUCCUGUGGACUGAAGAAGUCGUGGGAAACCUUGUGGAAGGAAAGAAGGUAGAAGCUCAGGCUAUUGGUGCAAAUGAAGCUUUGGAUUACCUGUGGAUUUUGAUCAUGUCUUCCAUUCCUGACCCUCUCAACAGCAUGGAUAAUUCUGUCUCUGAAUAUAUGCGUGGCCACAAGUGAGUGAUGAAAGCACAUCUACUUUUCACGGAACAGUUCCAGAAGCAUCACGCUAAGGUUCCUGUCUCUGCUGGUGUGCUGAUCCCGAGCCCCACAGAUCCUUCAUUGAUUGUAAUGCACGAUAAAGAUGAUAUAUAUGAAAACACCUAUCAUUUAGUCAGCAGAAUUCACAACCAGUCUGCUGUUUCUAUUUGGCAAUGGAGAGGAUUGAGGCAACAAUCCUGGAUAAUUCAAACCAAAGACGUGUCUUUCACCUGGGUUUUGCCUCACAAAGCUGGUAAGUGGAAUGCACAUGUUACCCCUGAUAUUUUAAGUCAAGAAACAUGACCGGUAGGAAUGCAUGUGUAGUUAUUGUCUGAUGAAUGAUGGGAUUUCUGCUGGGUCUUCACAGGGUAAGUCUGAGACACAAUUUACAUCACAGAUUAUGAACUGUGAACAUGGGGUCCCCUGGACAUGACUGUGGCAUAAGAGAGUGUGUCUGAGCAAGUUUUAGCCUCUGCUGCCACUUCGGUAAUGCAGGAGAUUAUGGCUAUUUUCAUCGCUAAAAGAAAACAACCCAAUAAUGGUUAAAAAGUAACUCCUCUCUGAUGGAAUGAUGUGAAUUUUUCAGGAAUGGGGACCAGUUGGAGGGCACUUAAGAAUGUCUAACAACAUUUAUGUUUUAUGUACAUCAAUUUGGGCAACACAGGGGUAGAGAGGCAGAGAAGGAAGGGUUUUGAUCUGUGUACUCUUCAGCCUGGAAAGAGAGUGGGUGGGGGCCAAGGAGGGGAGGAUUUGGCUAGAAGGUGUCCAGAAGAAGGAAGUGGGGACAGAGGUCAUUAACUGGAAAUAUGGCAGCUUUUCCAUUUUCCUGACUGCUGUUGCCUCUAAAAUCAGAGCUACCUAACAGGAUUUGUGUAAUGCUAGCUGUGACUUUCUACAUCCAAAAGGGCAUGCAGUGACACCACUUUGUGCCUGAUGGUAGAUUCAGGUACUAGUUUUACAUUUUACAAAGGCUAAGAUAUAAGAAUUCAAAAUGUUCUUUUUUCUUAGAGAUGCUUUACAUCUAAAAUUACAAGCAUCACAUUCUUUAGACUUUUAAGGCAAGAUAAUCAUGAUAAAACUAUA
Long non-coding RNA from Phacochoerus africanus (Common warthog), 3602 nucleotides. RefSeq lists it as uncharacterized. The record is from RefSeq and is a predicted model, not a curated record. Lineage: Eukaryota; Metazoa; Chordata; Mammalia; Artiodactyla; Suidae. The transcript is spliced from 5 exons.